GCCAGCAUAGUGUAGUGGUUUGAGCAUAAGACUAGGACUCUGAUUGUCAGGGUUUGAUUCCCUGAUCAGCCC
Non-coding RNA from Phrynosoma platyrhinos (Desert horned lizard), 72 nucleotides. NCBI's taxonomy places the organism in Eukaryota, Metazoa, Chordata, Lepidosauria, Squamata, Phrynosomatidae. The record is from the annotation of a GenBank genome assembly.